GCAUUAGUAGCUCAGACUUCAGAGCGCCGGUCUUGUAAGCCGGAGGCCGAAGGUUAAAAUCCUUCCUAACGCU
Molecule: transfer RNA, 73 nt
Filed under: Terapon jarbua (Jarbua terapon)
Lineage: Eukaryota; Metazoa; Chordata; Actinopteri; Centrarchiformes; Terapontidae
Description: tRNA-Thr
Rfam family: tRNA
About the family: Transfer RNA (tRNA) molecules are approximately 80 nucleotides in length.
Source: RNAcentral